GGUUAAGCGACUAAGCGUACACGGUGGAUGCCCUGGCAGUCAGAGGCGAUGAAGGGCGUGCUAAUCUGCGAUAAGCGCCGGUAAGGUGAUAUGAACCGUUAUAACCGGCGAUACCCGAAUGGGGAAACCCAGUGUGACUCGUCACACUAUCAUUAACUGAAUCCAUAGGUUAAUGAGGCGAACCGGGGGAACUGAAACAUCUAAGUACCCCGAGGAAAAGAAAUCAACCGAGAUUCCCCCAGUAGCGGCGAGCG
Molecule: ribosomal RNA, 254 nt
Filed under: Salmonella enterica
Lineage: Bacteria; Pseudomonadati; Pseudomonadota; Gammaproteobacteria; Enterobacterales; Enterobacteriaceae
Description: partial 23S ribosomal RNA
Rfam family: Bacterial large subunit ribosomal RNA
Source: RNAcentral